UGCUUAAUACAUGCAAGUCGUGCGAGAACGCACCUUUCGGGGUGUUAUUAGAGCGGCGAACGGGUGAGUAACACGUAAGCAACCUGCCCUUAAAUCUGGAAUAACCUUGCUAACGCGGGGCUAAUGCCGGAUGUGAUCAUUUUGCCUCAUGGUGAUUUGAUUAAAGGUGACCUCUAUUUAUAAGUUACUGUUUAGGGAUGGGCUUGCGUACCAUUAGUUUGUUGGUAGGGUAACGGCCUACCAAGACUACGAUGGUUAGCCGACCUGAGAGGGUGAUCGGCCACAUUGGGACUGAGAUACGGCCCAGACUCCUACGGGAGGCAGCAGUAGGGAAUUUUGCGCAAUGGACGAAAGUCUGACGCAGCAACUCCGCGUGAGGGAUGAAUGUCUUCGGAUUGUAAACCUCUGUUGACAGGGAAGAAAAAGCCUUGUGCUAAUAUCACAAGGCCCUGACGGUACCUGUCAAGAAAGCUCCGGCUAACUACGUGCCAGCAGCCGCGGUAAUACGUAGGGAGCAAGCGUUGUUCGGAAUCACUGGGCGUAAAGAGAGCGUAGGCGGGAAAAUAAGUUAGAAGUGAAAUGUACCGGCUCAACCGGUAACGUGCUUUUAAUACUGUUUUUCUUGAGUAUCGGAGAGGUAGAUGGAAUUCCAGGUGUAGCGGUGGAAUGCGUAGAUAUCUGGAAGAACACCAGUUGCGAAGGCGAUCUACUGGCCGAAUACUGACGCUGAGGCUCGAAAGCUAGGGGAGCGAACAGGAUUAGAUACCCUGGUAGUCCUAGCCGUAAACGAUGGAUACUAGAUGUUGGGGGCGUUGUUAUGACUUCAGUGACGAAGCUAACGCGUUAAGUAUCCCGCCUGGGGAGUACGCUCGCAAGAGUGAAACUCAAAGGAAUUGACGGGGGCCCGCACAAGCGGUGGAGCAUGUGCUUUAAUUCGAUGCAACGCGAAGAACCUUACCUGGUCUUGACAUGUGAAUGAUAGACUUUAGAGAUAGAGUAACUUCCUUCGGGAACAUUCAACACAGGUGCUGCAUGGUUGUCGUCAGCUCGUGUCGUGAGAUGUUGGGUUAAGUCCCGCAACGAGCGCAACCCCUGUCCUUAGUUGCCAUCAGGUAAUGCUGGGAACUCUAAGGAGACUGCCUGGAUUAACCAGGAGGAAGGUGGGGAUGACGUCAAAUCCUCAUGGCCCUUACGACCAGGGCUA
This 1204-nucleotide ribosomal RNA is filed under the name uncultured prokaryote. Its description in RNAcentral is "partial 16S ribosomal RNA". It matches the Rfam family "Bacterial small subunit ribosomal RNA", at positions 45 to 1216 of the family's 1533-position model. The record is from RNAcentral.